Molecule: small nucleolar RNA, 107 nt
Filed under: Gossypium arboreum
Lineage: Eukaryota; Viridiplantae; Streptophyta; Magnoliopsida; Malvales; Malvaceae
Description: Plant small nucleolar RNA R71
Rfam family: Plant small nucleolar RNA R71
About the family: R71 is a member of the C/D box family of snoRNAs containing the C (UGAUGA) and D (CUGA) box motifs.
Source: Rfam by way of RNAcentral
AACCCAUGGUGAGGUUACCUUCUCAGUAAGUCCUUAUAUCUCUCCCAUGCAUCGUAAAGUGUUUCUAAAUCUAUCUGUACAAAAGAAGAGAUAUCAUUAUACAAUUU